GAUGAACGCUGGCGGCGUGCCUAAUACAUGCAAGUCGAGCGAACAGACGAGGAGCUUGCUCCUCUGACGUUAGCGGCGGACGUGUGAGUAACACGUGGAUAACCUACCUAUAAGACUGGGAUAACUUCGGGAAACCGGAGCUAAUACCGGAUAAUAUAUUGAACCGCAUGGUUCAAUAGUGAAAGACGGUUUUGCUGUCACUUAUAGAUGGUUCCGCGCCGCAUUAGCUAGUUGGUAAGGUAACGGCUUACCAAGGCAACGAUGCGUAGCCGACCUGAGAGGGUGAUCGGCCACACUGGAACUGAGACACGGUCCAGAGUCCUACGGGAGGCAGCAGUAGGGAAUCUUCCGCAAUGGGCGAAAGCCUGACGGAGCAACGCCGCGUGAGUGAUGAAGGUCUUCGGAUCGUAAAACUCUGUUAUUAGGGAAGAACAAAUGUGUAAGUAACUAUGCACGUAUUGACGGUACCUAAUCAGAAAGCCACGGCUAACUACGUG
RNAcentral lists this ribosomal RNA (497 nucleotides) under uncultured bacterium. RNAcentral describes it as "partial 16S ribosomal RNA". It matches the Rfam family "Bacterial small subunit ribosomal RNA", at positions 28 to 507 of the family's 1533-position model. The record is from RNAcentral.